CCUCUCCACUCUCCCAUCUCCAAAAAUCUUCCAUUCAAGCUUAUUCUUGCAUCCAUUGAAAGUACCUUCGAGAGUUUCCGACGGAUCGCUUCGUUCUUCUCUUCUACCGAUUGGUUUUUGUAAAGGAAGUCGUGAACUCGAGGAUCGAGAGUUGCUAAGUUGGGUUGUGAAUUGCUAAGAGAACGAGGUUGAGCGGGAUGUUGCGGUGGAUGUUGAGCUGGCUUAAGUACUUAGGAUGCGUUGUGUCGUCAUACAUAGGCGUCGUCCUUGACUCUCCUUAAACCGUAUUUUCUGCUGCUAUAACUUGAACUAUGACUCAAGACUUAAUCUUUCCUUUAUGUUUAUGUUUUGAACAUGUAUGGUGGUGAUGAGCUUUAAACUAGUGUUUACGUUGUCUUUUGAAAAUUUUAUUCUUCGAGAUUUAAGUUAAGUAUUUGUUCAACUUAGGAUUCAGUGGUUGUAUUUCUUAAGUCUAAUUUUUUCCGUUGUCCUUUUAAAAGUAUUUUACCUUA
Salvia splendens (bonfire salvia) is the source of this 512-nucleotide long non-coding RNA. RefSeq lists it as uncharacterized. Lineage: Eukaryota; Viridiplantae; Streptophyta; Magnoliopsida; Lamiales; Lamiaceae. The transcript is spliced from 3 exons. The record is from RefSeq and is a predicted model, not a curated record.